CUUGUUUGUUUAGCCUUUUGUGGUGAAGAGAUCUACCUUCAAAUGUGGAACUUGGCUGCAAAGAUCAAUGACCAGUUUUUGACUGUUGCUACAAACAAGCGAAAAAACACAAAUGGAAUUUGAGACAUUGUGGCUAUGCAGAAAUGUCCCAGUCAAGUUCAAAAUACACAGACAAGGGAUUUGCCUCUCUUCCGGAUUCUCUGACACUCAUUUUUCAGAACUUUGGACCCCAUGGGAAAGGUGCAAGGAAAUUCAGACAGGAAAGGAGACUGGAGAAGAAAGUAAAACAAGAAAUGGAAAAAAAGGAACUUACUAGUGAAAAACAUAAUGCCAUUGAUCAGUACUUGCUUAGCGGAGAUGAAAAGUUACCAUUAUGAUCUGGUAUCAGGAAGGUCUCAAAUAGGUCACAGUGUGCUCAUAACACGCACACCAUCUCUCUGAGUGCAGUUUGCAAGCCCCGUGCCAUCUCCAUCUUCUUGAAACCGGCACAUCUGUCCUCUUUCUAUACACUACUGCCUUGACCUACAUUGGCCACUAUCUGGUGCUUCCCAGCUACACUGAAGAAGAGAAAAUCGACUGUAUCAUAUGUGGAACUUAGAAACCAGAGCGGUUAAAAAUUAUUGAAAAAUGAGCCAGAUGUGUACUGCUUGACAAUUAAAGAUGAUGCCAGUAGAAUUGGUUUUGGAGUCAUGAUGGAAAAUGGGAUAGAAGUUUGGGAUCCAUUUGAACACCAGAAUACCAUUAUUCCAGGUUAUGAAAGCGUACAUCAUACUGUGAUUAGCAAACUCCAGCUGCUGGAGGAAAGGGCAAAAGCAGUCCUACUU
This is a long non-coding RNA of Haliaeetus leucocephalus (bald eagle), 824 nucleotides long. RefSeq lists it as uncharacterized. The transcript has 7 exons. NCBI's taxonomy places the organism in Eukaryota, Metazoa, Chordata, Aves, Accipitriformes, Accipitridae. The record is from RefSeq and is a predicted model, not a curated record.